Motacilla alba alba is the source of this 695-nucleotide long non-coding RNA. RefSeq lists it as uncharacterized. The transcript is spliced from 3 exons. Lineage: Eukaryota; Metazoa; Chordata; Aves; Passeriformes; Motacillidae. The record is from RefSeq and is a predicted model, not a curated record.
GUUUGAAGGAAACAAGAUAAGAAAUCCACCCCUCCUGGUCGGCAAGAUUCAGAACAUACGGAAUAUCCUGCUGGCAGGAAAGUGAAGCUUACACCCAUAUGCUCAGCCAGUCUCUGGUAUGAGUAUUGCAGGUCUGCAGCAUGCCAAGAAUUGAUCGCCUGCAUUCAUAUUUUUCGUGGUGCUGUGUGACAGUCAUAGUGACCCAGCUGAGCCUCAUCAACCAGGUCUCAUAAGGAAAAGAGAGUAACCAACUUCUCCACAAUCUUUUAAGAGGGGAAUUCAGAGGAGACCAGAUUUUAGACAACAAAGGUGAAUGCAAGAAGAAAUCAUUAGAUUUAGAAAAACUGCUUCUUCUAGGUCUGUUUGUAUUGCACCAAGGAGAUGGGCAUGAGCAGCAUUUCCAGACCCUCACAUUCAACUUUCCACUCCAGACAAUCUAAAGCUAUGGGGAAGCAAACAUCACAGGCACAGUACAUUCCUGCUCCAAAGGACAAGGCACUUCAUUCUCAGGUUUGGCAAUUGGGAGUGCAGUCUGUUAUUGAAGCUGAGCUUAAGGAGGGCAAAGAUUAGAGUAUGAAAAUAAUUUGUUCUGAUGUAUAUUUUAAUACAGUAAUUGCUGGUUGAGCAAGACAGUGCAUCACUAGACUUGUAAUCAGCAGUAGUCACUCUCAUUGUUUGCUGCAUGCAGCAGUAAA